AAUGUAUAGCAAUAGCUACUUGCAUUAUUGUAAAGAUGAUGCAAGAUCGACUAUGUCGAAUAAAAUUCUAGGUAGAAUUAUGAUAAUGACAUUGUCUGCCUAUGUGUCUUGACCAAAUUACGUGCCAGCAGUCGCGGUAAUACGUAGAAGACUAGUGUUAUUCAUGUUUAAUCGGUUUAAAGGGUACCUAGACGGUAAAUCAAGCCUAAAAGGAAAUAAAUGAAGGGACUAAUUUACUAGAGUUACUUAUGAGGGGGUAUUAAAGUACUGCUGGUGUAGAGAUGAAAUUCUGUCAUACCUCUUUUCAAUAGAAAAAUAAUGGCACAGGUAUAGGCGAAAGCAUCCCCUUAUGUGAUAACUGACGUUGAGGGACGAAGGCUUUGUGUAGCGAACAGGAUUAGAUACCCCAGUAGUCAAAGCAGAAAAUGAUGAAUGUCAUAGAUUAGAUAUAUAAGUUUAUUCUAUAAAUGAAAGUGUAAGCAUUCCACCUCAAGAGUAAUUUGGCAACAUUGGAACUGAAAUCAUUAGACCGUUUCUGAAACCAGUAGUGAAGUAUGUUGUUUAAUUUGAUGAUCCACAAAAAACCUUACCACAAUUUGAAUAUUUACAUCUUUUAUUGUUUUCUACUUAAGAAAAAAUAAAGAAAAAAGAAACAAUAAGAUAUAUUUACAAGCGUUGCACGGCUGUCUUCAGUUAAUGUCGCGAGACUAUGGUUAGUUCCAUUAAAUUAACGUAAACCCUUACUUUAUUUUUAUAUAGAGUAGUUCCCCACUAUAUUGGAUAUGAUAACAGG
This 793-nucleotide ribosomal RNA is filed under the name Vulpicida viridis. RNAcentral's name for it is "SSU rRNA". It matches the Rfam family "Bacterial small subunit ribosomal RNA", at positions 360 to 1152 of the family's 1533-position model. Lineage: Eukaryota; Fungi; Ascomycota; Lecanoromycetes; Lecanorales; Parmeliaceae. The record is from RNAcentral.